UUUGAAAUCUAAACCUAUUAGUU
Molecule: small nuclear RNA, 23 nt
Filed under: Arabidopsis thaliana (thale cress)
Lineage: Eukaryota; Viridiplantae; Streptophyta; Magnoliopsida; Brassicales; Brassicaceae
Description: snRNA_13377
Source: RNAcentral